RNAcentral lists this ribosomal RNA (260 nucleotides) under uncultured Desulfomicrobium sp. RNAcentral's name for it is "partial 16S ribosomal RNA". It matches the Rfam family "Bacterial small subunit ribosomal RNA", at positions 1129 to 1382 of the family's 1533-position model. Lineage: Bacteria; Pseudomonadati; Thermodesulfobacteriota; Desulfovibrionia; Desulfovibrionales; Desulfomicrobiaceae. The record is from RNAcentral.
GGUGGGCGACUCUGUGGAGGACUGCCCGGGUUAACCGGGUACGGGAGGGUGGGGGAGUGACGUCAAGUCAUCAUGGCCCUUACGCCUAGGGCUACACACGUACUACAAUGGUGGGUACAAAGGGCAGCGAAACCGCGAGGUCGAGCGAAUCUCAAAAAACCCAUCAUAGUCCGGAUUGCAGUCUGCAACUCGACUGCAUGAAGUUGGAAUCGCUAGUAAUCCCGGAUCAGCAUGCCGGGGUGAAUACGUUCCCGGGCCUU